UGUCACAGACACGGGGGCCGUUAAGGCUGAGAGGAAGCGAACGCGCUUCGACCGUAUGAACGUAUACCGGGUAAUGCCGGCGCACGGACGUCUCUCUUUUCCCGUG
This 106-nucleotide non-coding RNA is filed under the name Bifidobacterium dentium. Its description in RNAcentral is "TPP sequence". It matches the Rfam family "TPP riboswitch aptamer (THI element)". Rfam says of the family: Vitamin B(1) in its active form thiamin pyrophosphate (TPP) is an essential coenzyme that is synthesised by coupling of pyrimidine and thiazole moieties in bacteria. RNAcentral also lists the same sequence under 1 other name. Lineage: Bacteria; Bacillati; Actinomycetota; Actinomycetes; Bifidobacteriales; Bifidobacteriaceae. The record is from RNAcentral.